This 72-nucleotide transfer RNA is filed under the name Marmota marmota marmota (Alpine marmot). It matches the Rfam family "tRNA". From Rfam's summary of the family: Transfer RNA (tRNA) molecules are approximately 80 nucleotides in length. Their secondary structure includes four short double-helical elements and three loops (D, anti-codon, and T loops). Lineage: Eukaryota; Metazoa; Chordata; Mammalia; Rodentia; Sciuridae. RNAcentral also lists the same sequence under 3 other names. The record is from Rfam by way of RNAcentral.
UGGGUUGCGGCUCAGUGGUAGAGCACUUGCCUAGCAUGCAUGAGACACUGGGUUCAAUCCUCAGCAUCACAU